Molecule: non-coding RNA, 2662 nt
Organism: Peromyscus maniculatus bairdii (prairie deer mouse)
Lineage: Eukaryota; Metazoa; Chordata; Mammalia; Rodentia; Cricetidae
Source: RefSeq, a predicted model, not a curated record
GGCUGAGUGAGGAGACGCUGCCAGCCACUGCCAUAAGAAGCAAGAUGUAAAGAUACUGAGCUACAUUGCCAUGAUCACAUUCUGCCCUGCUCCUCUGAUUGACAGCAUAAUUUGGACUUAAUACAGCUCUGGGAUGCCCUCAGUAUCACCUGCAGGACACCAUUUUCACACCUUCAUGUUGGGACAGGAAAUACUAUCUGUUUGCUCACUCAUACUUCUCAGUUCAUGUAUCCCCGAGGAAAGGGGGCCCAGGGGGAGCUGCACUUGAGAUGGGAUCUCCUGUAGCCCAGGCUGGUUUCAAACUCUCUGUGUAGACACAGAUGACCUUCUGUGGCUAAUCUCCUUCUACCUCCCAAGUAUUGUGAUCACAGGCCUGCAAUUUCUUUUCAUCUCAUCAUUUUACUGGCUCCCACAGGUGGUAUUGGGAGGCAGUAAAAGAGAAAGGAAUUGAACUCACAGGAAUGAUGCUUUCCAAAACACUUUCAAGCACUUGGGUUUCUGCUGACAAUAUGUAGGGGGUGGCAGGAAGAUAGAUGUUCUAUGGUUAAACCCAACCCAACUCCUACCUUUCUUGGAUAACAACUUUCCUUUCUCUAGUUUCUUUAAACUCUAUUUGUCAAAACCUACUUAUUCUUCCAUGUGAGAUGUUUGUUUGUGUGAAAACUCUCCAAUGGCUUUCUUCCAUUCACACACUUCAGUAAUUGUUCUGGUCAGUAUUUCCUGGUACUCAUUUAUGAAAGUAAGCAUGCAUAUGUCACACAUUUUAUGCCCCUCAUUGUUGUAUGCACAAUAUUAAUUUCCUUUUAACACUUUACUUUCAACCACUUUAAUUCUCACAAUUCUAUCUUAGUAGAUAGAUACUUUUACCAUCCCAAUCUUAGCAAGGAAAAUAAGCACCAUUAUCAGAGAAGGUAAGUUUUAAAUGGUGAGUUCACAGAUGCCAAACAGACCCAGCAAUUGUUCCACAUGAACUGAGUGGCACGCAUAAAGGCCUGAAGGCAUGAUAGCAUUGGAUAUGAUUGUUCAUUAACGUAUUAAGUCACAGGGCUGGGCCUUGGCUACAGGCCAGCUACUGUACUUCGUUUGUAAUUCAGGCAGUGAUAAACAGAUGGAGGGGAGAAGAUGGUGCUGCCAGCAGUCUAUUCUCAUUGGUGUACAAAGCCUGCAGAGCAAAAGUAAGCUGGGUUUGUUCAUGAAAGUACCACGUGCAUUGGCAGGCAACUGGGACUUCAUCCAUUGUGUGCUGGGUACAUAGAAGAGCUUGAAUAGAGGGAUGAGAAGGUGACUAUAUCUGCCCAUGCAAUGUCAUGAAGUGAUCCCUUCCUUCUUAAAAAUAUAAAGUGCUUUGAACUUAUUAUGUGUUUUCUCAAGAUUUAAUUAAAACUGGAUUUGCAUUAAGCACCUGUAAAUUCCUAAAUGAGCAACAAGAUCCACUGUUGAGUCUUUGGAGACUCUGUGAUUUCUAAAAGACACUUUAUGCUUGAAAGUAUUCAGUGAUGCAUGUAGAACUGACUUUCUCUUACUAAUUUGACUCUGACUCCCCCCUACAAACGUCUGUCUUUUUUGCUUUAGCAGAUUAAAGUGCAGCGGAAAUGUACCAACACAGUGACAUUUUCUAUUUGCAGUAGGUCAUGCAAGAUCACCUGCCCUCUAGACUACAUCUUGAGAACACAAUUUAAUCAGUGCAUUUUCAAAAGCCCAGGGCAUAUCCUAUCAUACAGGAAUUGUAAAGUCCACUGAAAAACACUGUAACUAUAGAACAUGUUUGGUUUCUUAAAGUUCUAUGAGGAAAAUAAUUAUAUUUGAGCAAGAAGAUGUGUAUCUGUAUAUGUGGUUAUAUCUUGAAGUCAUCAUCAGUAAAGCAUGAAAAGUACUUUAUUAUACUCAGCUAAUUUUUAAAUAUAUAUCCUUUUCAUUUUGUAUCCUUCUACCAGACAAACAAACAAAAAAGAAAUAUAAAUAACUCAUGUAAGGUGGUUAAUCUUGUAGGUCGAUCAAUGCUGAUUUAGGGCUGCAUUCUUACAGCAGUCAAGAUAUUUUUCUUUGGAAAAAGAAAUCUACCAUGUUUUGCCUUCUCUCAUAAUGAAGUAAGUUUUUUUUUCUAUUUUUCAAGCAUUCCUUUUUUUCUUGAUGCCUUUUAUUCUGCACCCUUAAACCCAGAUAAUUGUAUUCAUUCAUAAAGUAAUCUGAACACAUUUUAAAUGACAUUUACAAAUAUUCCCAUAACACUAUCAGUGCCCUUCAACAUGAAUGAAAUUCAAUGUUCCCUCUAUAGGGGCCUUGAACAUUACCCAACUUAUCACUGGCACAUCUAUCAUAGAAUGAAAGGAUGCUGUGGAGAUGCAUAGUUGACCAGUACUAUUUGUAGAGCAUCUUCCCCCCCAAAAAAAUAGCAGUGUCAUUUUAACCUUGAAAGGUGAAAAGUGAUUUUUGUAUAAUGAUGAAAUUGAUCGUGUUAUCCUCUUCUGUUUUUUUUUUUAAUCACAGGUGCUAUUCCAUCUAGAUUAGAUCAGAGGAAGUUGAAAUAAUCCACUGCAUAGUAGAUUGUAUCUUUCUUCCUAUCACAGUAGAAAUUUUCCAUUUAUUUAAAAAUUUCAAGAGUAUUGUGAUUGCUUCUGUUUCUCUUCUCCAUCAUCAUAUGCCAAGAACUCAGUCAGGUGCA